RNAcentral lists this ribosomal RNA (250 nucleotides) under uncultured prokaryote. Its description in RNAcentral is "partial 16S ribosomal RNA". It matches the Rfam family "Bacterial small subunit ribosomal RNA", at positions 524 to 773 of the family's 1533-position model. The record is from RNAcentral.
UACGUAGGUGGCAAGCGUUGUCCGGAUUUACUGGGUGUAAAGGGUGCGCAGGCGGGAUAGCAAGUCAGCUGUGAAAACUCCGGGCUUAACCUGGAGACUGCAGUUGAAACUGUUGUUCUUGAGUGAAGCAGAGGUAGGCGGAAUUCCGAGUGUAGCGGUGAAAUGCGUAGAUAUUCGGAGGAACACCAGUGGCGAAGGCGGCCUACUGGGCUUUAACUGACGCUGAGGCACGAAAGCAUGGGGAGCAAAC